Molecule: small nucleolar RNA, 127 nt
Filed under: Echinops telfairi (small Madagascar hedgehog)
Lineage: Eukaryota; Metazoa; Chordata; Mammalia; Afrosoricida; Tenrecidae
Description: Small nucleolar RNA SNORA61 (ENSETEG00000025312.1)
Source: RNAcentral
ACACUCCCAAUUCCUGACCCAUCAGAUUAAAACCCUGAUCUGAGUGGGUAUUCAAGGAGGACAAGUACAAUGGAAAUGGACUCAAAGCUUGUGUUUUUGAGGACAUACGAGCUAGCAUCUACAAACC